UCCAAAAUGGAGGGAAAAACUGAAAAGAAAUAUAAAUUAAAAGAUUAAUGAAAUACUUUUGGGGGGUUUAAGCUUUUAAAUUAACAGAUACUUGUAAAUAGUAAUAAUGGUGAUUGGAAAGAGGCACUUUCAUCAUAUACUUUUGACAGGAGAGUUAAUUGGCACAGAUUUACCGUACUUCUAUUUGACAGUAAGUAUCACGUAUCUAGAGCUUGUAUGGAAGAAUUCCACUUCUGGAAAUUUAUUCUUAGGAAAAAAAUCUUUUAAAAUCUAAGAUCUUUCAUAACUCAUUGCAAUGUACUGAGUUACAAUACAUUGUUUUGUUUUGGGGUUUUGAAUAGUUAAUAUUCAAAGUUCCUUAUUUUCAAGAAGAGGGAGUAUCCAAGUAAUCUGAAUGGGAAUAGAGAAAUUCUUUCUCAAUCUAAUCAACAUCUAACUUUAGAAGGGGGUGGGGAAGUGACCAGGAAUGAGGCAUGAGCAGAAGUUCUUGGGAAAUCUUCCAAGAAAUAAAAUUUGUUUGGGGCAUCUAGGUGGAGCAGUUGGUCAUAAAAUGACUAGCAGUGUUACUCAUCUACCUUAAUUUCCUUUGGCAUAUAAUUUAGCAUAUUGACUAAUACGUAAUUUAACAUAUUGACCAAGGAUUAGGACAUGAACAUCUUUGGGAGGCUAUUUUUGGCCUGCCAUAUAUAGCCAGCUUAUACCUGAAACUAUCUUUCUUGCAAUGGCAGCAAUCCAAAUGUCAGUUCAUUUUCGUAGCCUUAGCUGUGCGAGUCUAUCCCACAUAUAUAUGUCAUUCAGAGCAGCUGAAGAACUGGUUAGAGUUGAUACAUGAAAUUCAGGGCUCCUCCUCUUACGUUCUCUCAUUUUGGGAAUCUCACCUACAUAACUCAGUGAUUAUGGUUGACCCAAAUUCUGUCCUCAGGUUCUUCAAGCCAAUAAGAUUGUGGAUUUUGUAUUGAAGUUUUAACUACCCUACAUGAUGAAGACCUGUGCUUGCAGUUGAAAAGUCAUAUACAUGGGAAGCCCACUCUAUGUAACUCCACUCUACCAAGUGUUGAUUUCUCCCCAGUGUCUGCCUACUUUGAGGUGCCAUAUAGUACCUUCAGGUAGGAUUUCUUUUUGCUUCAGACAUAAAAUAUAGUUAUUAUCUGUGUAAAGGCUGGUAUGAAAGUUAGCUUCUACCAUACCAGAAGCUUUGAUAUUCAUUUUUUAAACUGCUAAUGACCAGGCAAUUUCUCAAUAAAAUGAGGACUAAACAAUUUAUAAAAAUAACUUCAAUAAGUCAAUACUCCAGUGUUCUAAAAGAACUUCAAUUGACUGUCCACUGCUUCUACCUAGAAUAUUCAAAAUAAGAGCCUCAAAUGCAAAAGCAAAUAUUGUGUACUGAGGUGUUAUCAAUAUAUGUUCAAUCUGAGGUAGUAUCUGAAUAUGUAUGUAGUUGGAUAGAGAUUUAAAGCUGGUAGUCAGAACAUGACUUUAGAUUCAGAGUCUUGCUGGAAAGAGACUAGUGAUGGCAAUUAAUUUUGUUUAUAAUGCACCCAUAAGCAAAAUCAUAAAUACUUCGAAUAAAAAACAGCCAGUUGCUUCAGAAUGUCCUUUGAACAUAUUAAAACACGGCCUCAUCUAUACUACAGGGCACCACCAGAUUUUAGCCUAUGCUAUAACCUUCACAUUAUAAGGGAAUUUAGAAAUUGACCUAAAGGGACACCUCAAAAAAACAGGAUAUUUGUUGGUUUCACUAAGCUUUCUACUAUUUUGUUUCUUGUACAUAAGAUUUUUUUCUACUUAUAAAAAGAAACAAAAACAAAAAAAAGCUUCUAAUGUUAUUUCCUAAAAUACGGGGAUUUGAUUCCUUACAGUUAUUCACCAGAAUUUCUUAGGCCAGUGAUUUCCACAAGAAAGGGAAAUUGUUUGGGUUGGGAUUAUUUCAGGGGCAUGCAUGUAUAAAGACAAAAUGUUGAUACAAUAUGAUUGUUGGAAGAAAUUAACUACUUUAUAAGAAGUGUUUUGAUAUAGAAUACAACAAAAACAACUCAGUACUAGCUUGUAAUAUGUCAAAAAAUAUUUUUCUAAACACUAGGCCAUGGAAUCUUUCAUACCACAAAAGGAAAUAUCUUUGUUUGAGCUCAUUUCAACCUGUGGCAGCACUUUUUCUGUGGGCCAGUGAUGCUGGCUUAAAAUACUUUAUCAUUUUCCCCUCUGAUGAGAAUGUGGUAGUAAAACAGCAAGUUCUUAGGAAACAGAGAGAGGUAUCAAAUUUUUAAAUCUCUCACUGCACAUUAAAACUUUCUAUCUUCCUCCUUCUUUCCCUCAUGUUCUCUGUUUUUUCAUACACCCACACAGAAAUCUUCACAACAGUUAAAAUGGGAGGGGAAAAUGAAACACAUAUUUUAUUUGCUCUAACAUUGAAUAAAAUCUUUAAGGGGAAAUUUUUUUAACUUUUAUUCAGUCUCUAAGUAAAAUAGAUUUUCCAGAAAGAUGAGUUAUAUCCUAUAUCUUUGAGUCACCUCCAACAAACCAAUUUACUUAUGUUCCAUGGACUAUGCAUUUCUCAUUAUAAGAGUUGAACAUGUAUGAUGCAGUGAAAAAUCUGUUAAUUCCUUUAAUACAACUUGGAGUUUCUUUGCUUAAAAAAUAUCAAAUUCCAUUUCAUUCACAUUACCAUAGCUGUUCUCAUUUUACUCACUAGAGAAAAUGCAGUCUGGUUGAAAUUUAAAAUGGUACCUCUUUAUCCAAAUAAUAAGGACUUUGCAAUAUAAUUUCAUUAGAAAACUUUUCCACAUCUGGAUUUGACUUCAUAGCCUCAAUUACGGGUGCCUGGAUGACUCAGUGGUUGAGCGUGCCUUUGGCUCGGGUUGUGAUCCUGGGGUCCUGGGAUAAAGUCCCAAAUCAGGCUGCCUGCGGAGAGCCUGCUUCUCCCGCUGCCUGUGUCUACCACUCUCUCUGUGUCUCCUGUGAAUGAAUAAAUAAAAUCUUUUUAAAAUAAAUAAAUAAAUCAUUAUUUAAAGACUUACAUCUAAAUAUUGUCUCUGUCAGACUAACAAGAUAAAUGACAAGUCAAAGUAAAUAUAGAUGUUUUGCUAUGGUUUAUGAUUUGGUUUCUUUUUUAAACUUUCAUUAGUUAUGUUUCCUUUUAGUAUUUUCCUCUCUGGUGUUCCAUAUAGCACUGCUACAGUUUGCUCUCCUCUCAUCUUACAGGGUUAACUGGCCACAUCAUUUCAUCAAAUAAGAUGUGUACAAUUUCUGACACUUUAGAAGAUGAUUUUGUUGCACAGUGGUUUUUAGCUUGGAGGUUUCUCGCAUUUGUUGGAUCUCAUUGUUUCUUCUAGCUCUUUUUCUUUUUUUGUAAUAAAGUAAAUGAGUUUUGCUCAGAUUAACAUUUAAUAAAUUUAUAAACAAUUAUGAAGAACUAAUUAAGUUAAUUCUAUAGUCUUUCUUUUCUUGUUGAGAUUUAGGUUAGUAUGUGAUUUUCUUUUACUGUGGUGGAUAAGUAACACUUGUGAAAAGAUCUGCUUAGAAAAGGGAAAAGAAACAGAUGGCUCAUGAAGAUAUAUUUCGAUAAGAGUCAGUGCAACACAAAUGUUGGUAGCAGGCUUUCUUAAAAUAUUUUUUUUUCUUUUACUGAUUUUGAUGCUUAUGAUUAUAUUUUGUUUUCUUACCUGUCUUGUUAUAAAGCGGUUAACGUAUCUCAAAGCAUCAGGGAAAAUAAUUUAUAUAAGGAGUAGAUAAAAUUGAACUCCAAAAUAGAUUGCCUUAUCAGAGAAUUAUAGAAAAACGUCCAUCUGGUUUUAAACCUUUGUCUAAAAAUACAAAGAUUUUAUUUAUUAGUAGUACUUUCUACUCUAUAGAGUACAGACUUCAAUUAAGUGCAUUUAAAGAUCUAGCAUUCUCUAUGGAAUUAGCAUUGUUGCAUUAAAUAUCAGUGUACAUUUACUUGCAACAAACAUUCUAAUCCAUCAUCUGAACCCUAUACGUAUGUCUUGCCUUUUUAAACUAUUACAAAAUCAGGAUAAAUAAUUCAUACAGGUAUAUCCAGCAAACUAUUGUCCAAAAUGAGGGAGAAAUAAAGACUUUUACAGAUAAACAAAGGCUGAGUUCAUUAUUACACUUGUCUUACAAGAAAUGUUAAAAGGAAUGAUUGAAUUCAAAUGAAAGGAUGCUAGACAAAGCAGCCCCGCGGGCUCAGCGGUUUAGCGCCACCUUCAGUCGGGGCCUGAUUCUGGAGACCCGGGAUCGAGUCCCCACAUCAGGCUCCCUACAUGAAGCCUGCUUCUCUGUCGGCCUGUCUCUGCCUCCCUGUGUGUGUGUGUGUGUGUCAUGAAUAAAUAAAUAAACUCUUAAAAAGAAAAGAUGCUAGGCAGCAACAUGAAAGCAUGUAAAAAUACAAGGCUCUCUGGCAAAGGUAAAUAUAUAUAGACAAAAACCGAAUCCUAUAACAUUGUAAUAGUAAACCAUAAUUCACCUUAAUUGUAGCAUAGAAUUGAAAAGAUAAAAGCAUUAAAAUAAUUGCAGCUAUAUUAUUAGAUUAAUGGAUACAAAAUGUAAAAAUAUCUAAUUUGUGACAUUAAUGACAUAUUAUAGGGAGGAUGCAAAAGAGUAGAGUUUUCACCUAACACUAGAGCAUUCAAAUGUAUGAAACAAACAUUGACAGAAUUGAGAGAAGAAAUAGAAAGCAAUACAUUAAUAGCAGAAGACUUCAAAACCCCAUUUUCAAUAAUGGAUGGAUCAUCCAGAUAAAAGCAAUAAGAACACAGAGAACUUGAACAACACUAUAGACCAAAUGGACCUAACAGACGUAUACAGACCAUUCCAUCCAUAGUUGCAGAGUACAGAUUAGUUUCAAGCAUACAUGGAACAUUCUCCAGGAUAGAUCAUAUGUUAGGCCACAAAACAAAUCUUAAAGAAUUUAAUAUUAAGAUUAAAUCAAGUAUCUUUUCCAACCACAAUGGAAUGAAACUAGAAAUCAACAGCAGAAGGAAAAAGCAAAAUUCACAAAGUGGAAAUUAAAGAACACACUCUUGAACAACUAAUGGAUCAAAGAAGAAACCAUAGGAAAAUUUUAAAACAUAUUGAAACAAAAUUAAAAACCCAAUAUACUAAAACAUAGGUUGUUGCAAACGUGGUACUAAUAGGCAAGUUAGUAGUGAUAAACAUGUAACUAGAAAAGGAGAAAGAUCCCAAACUAAGAACCCAAUUUUAUAUUUCCAGGAAUUAAAAAAAGAAAAACAAACUAAGCCCAAGUUAGCAUAAGGGAGGAAAUAAUAUUCAAGCAGAAAUAAAUGAACUAAAGAAUAGAAAAGAAUAGAAAAAAGUCAACAAACUCAAACCUGAUUUCCUGAAAAGAUUAGCAAAAUUUAUAGACCCUUACCUAAGCAAACUAAGAAAAAA
This 5388-nucleotide long non-coding RNA is filed under the name Canis lupus familiaris (dog). RNAcentral's name for it is "lncRNA (ENSCAFG00000053048.1, ENSCAFG00845025771.1)". The record is from RNAcentral. Lineage: Eukaryota; Metazoa; Chordata; Mammalia; Carnivora; Canidae.